Molecule: ribosomal RNA, 615 nt
Filed under: uncultured Synechococcus sp.
Lineage: Bacteria; Bacillati; Cyanobacteriota; Cyanophyceae; Synechococcales; Synechococcaceae
Description: bacterial SSU rRNA
Rfam family: Bacterial small subunit ribosomal RNA
Source: RNAcentral
GAAUCUGCCCUCAGGAGGGGGAUAACGGUUGGAAACGACCGCUAAUACCCCAUAUGCCGAGAGGUGAAAUGAAAUUCGCCUGAGGAUGAGCUCGCGUCUGAUUAGCUAGUUGGUAAGGUAAUGGUUUACCAAGGCAUUGAUCAGUAGCUGGUCUGAGAGGAUGAUCAGCCACACUGGGGCUGAGACACGGCCCAGACUCCUACGGGAGGCAGCAGUGGGGAAUUUUCCGCAAUGGGCGCAAGCCUGACGGAGCAACGCCGCGUGAGGGAUGAAGGCCUCUGGGCUGUAAACCUCUUUUAUCAAGGAAGAAGAUCUGACGGUACUUGAUGAAUAAGCCACGGCUAAUUCCGUGCCAGCAGCCGCGGUAAUACGGGAGUGGCAAGCGUUAUCCGGAAUUAUUGGGCGUAAAGCGUCCGCAGGCGGUUUUACAAGUCUGUCGUUAAAACGUGGAGCUCAACUCCAUUUCGGCGAUGGAAACUGUAAGACUAGAGUGUGGUAGGGGCAGAGGGAAUUCCCGGUGUAGCGGUGAAAUGCGUAGAUAUCGGGAAGAACACCAGUGGCGAAGGCGCUCUGCUGGGCCAUAACUGACGCUCAUGGACGAAAGCCAGGGGAGCG